This 404-nucleotide ribosomal RNA is filed under the name Peptoniphilus sp. oral taxon 836. RNAcentral describes it as "bacterial SSU rRNA". It matches the Rfam family "Bacterial small subunit ribosomal RNA", at positions 28 to 405 of the family's 1533-position model. Lineage: Bacteria; Bacillati; Bacillota; Tissierellia; Tissierellales; Peptoniphilaceae. The record is from RNAcentral.
GACGAACGCUGGCGGCGCGCUUAACACAUGCAAGUCGAGCGAUGAAAUCUUAACAGAACCCUUCGGGGUGAAGAUAAGACGGAUUAGCGGCGGACGGGUGAGUAACACGUGAGUAACCUGCCUUUUACACAGGGAUAGCCUCGGGAAACCGGGAUUAAAACCUGAUGAAACUAUCAAAUCACAUGAUUAAGAAAGUUAAAACUCCGGUGGUAAAAGAUGGAUUCGCGUCCCAUUAGCUAGUUGGUGAAGGUAACGGCCCACCAAGGCAACGAUGGGUAGCCGGCCUGAGAGGGUGAACGGCCACAUUGGAACUGAGAAACGGUCCAAACUCCUACGGGAGGCAGCAGUGGGGAAUAUUGCACAAAUGGGGGAAAACCCCUGAUGCAAGCGAACGCCCGCGUGAA